RNAcentral lists this transfer RNA (92 nucleotides) under Escovopsis weberi. It matches the Rfam family "tRNA". From Rfam's summary of the family: Transfer RNA (tRNA) molecules are approximately 80 nucleotides in length. The record is from Rfam by way of RNAcentral. Lineage: Eukaryota; Fungi; Ascomycota; Sordariomycetes; Hypocreales; Hypocreaceae.
UCCGAUAUGGUGUAGUGGCUAACAUCGCUCGCUCUCAACCUUCAAUGAGUUGGUGAUCCGAGCAGCCCGGGGUUCGAUUCCCCGUAUCGGAG